AUGAUUGUACGGGGAGAGAACGCAUUGGCGUCGCCGAAGGAGCAAAUGAUUACAUCAUGAAUCUCUCAGGCAAAAAGACUCGUACAGGACG
RNAcentral lists this non-coding RNA (91 nucleotides) under Planococcus rifietoensis. RNAcentral describes it as "Glycine sequence". It matches the Rfam family "Glycine riboswitch aptamer". Rfam says of the family: This family represents the bacterial glycine riboswitch. Lineage: Bacteria; Bacillati; Bacillota; Bacilli; Caryophanales; Caryophanaceae. The record is from Rfam by way of RNAcentral.